GACGAACGCUGGCGGCGUGCUUAACACAUGCAAGUCGAACGGAAAGGCCCUUCGGGGUACUCGAGUGGCGAACGGGUGAGUAACACGUGGGUGAUCUGCCCUGCACUUUGGGAUAAGCCUGGGAAACUGGGUCUAAUACCGAAUAGGACCACGCGCUUCAUGGUGUGUGGUGGAAAGCUUUUGCGGUGUGGGAUGGGCCCGCGGCCUAUCAGCUUGUUGGUGGGGUAAUGGCCUACCAAGGCGACGACGGGUAGCCGGCCUGAGAGGGUGACCGGCCACACUGGGACUGAGAUACGGCCCAGACUCCUACGGGAGGCAGCAGUGGGGAAUAUUGCACAAUGGGCGCAAGCCUGAUGCAGCGACGCCGCGUGAGGGAUGACGGCCUUCGGGUUGUAAACCUCUUUGAAUAGGGACGAAGCGCAAGUGACGGUACCUAUAGAAGAAGCACCGGCCAACUACGUG
RNAcentral lists this ribosomal RNA (462 nucleotides) under uncultured bacterium. Its description in RNAcentral is "partial 16S ribosomal RNA". It matches the Rfam family "Bacterial small subunit ribosomal RNA", at positions 28 to 507 of the family's 1533-position model. The record is from RNAcentral.